AUUAUAUUCUAUUUCGUUUAAUAAGAACGAUUUUGCGUUACGCGUCGAACACGCGGCGAACACGGAUAACACGAUACUGAAAACGCGGCUCGAACGAAGGAGACCAUAUGUAAACUCUACUACGUAGCAAUUGUGGCGCGCAAAUGUGUGUUAUGAUGAGGGCAUCACGCUAUUUAUAUAUACGUGGAACGAAAGAACGAUUAAAGAUAUCUAAGAAACAUAAGAUAUUGAUACGAAUUGUUAUCAGAUAAAGUAAAAAAUUACUUUAAUUAAAAUCGAAAAUUAGUCAAGUAUACAAAAACAAAUCAUUGUGAAAUCGUAGCAAACGUAUUCUUUUUUAUACCGACUUUAUAUUCAAAUGAUGUUUUAAAUGGAAUAAUAAUCGAAAAAAUAAUCGAAAAAUUGUUGCGAAUAUAUCUCAAUUUAUAUAAAAUAAAGUAAUAUUAAAAAAUAACGAUAACUGAGAAAUAUUAUCAUUACACGAUAACAAUAAUCUUAACAAAGAAAAGUGAAGAUUGAAAUCGAUGAGUGUACAAAAAAAUAAUAAAAUAUUCGUUCUUUCUCCAAAUAUGGCAAAAUAUUUGUAACAAUACCGUUAUAACUGAUGUAGAAACUUUGAAAAAUCCUUUUGAAAAUAAUUCUACAAUUUUUCCCAAGCUAUCCAUUAACGUGGAAUUAAAAUUUUAUGAAAGAAUACAAUAUUUGAUACAGAUAAAAAUAGUUUGCAUUUUGACAACAAUUUUAGACGAUUAAAGCUUUUAUUGCAAUUUAAUAAAUCUGUAUAUUUUGACAACAACUUUUACUUUGGAUGAUUGAAACGCGACGAUAUAUUCAUAACUUUCAUUGCGAUUCAAAUCUGUCUUUAUAUUUCGAAUAUAAAAAUAUAAAAUCUUCCCUUUCCUUCGUUUCACAAUUUCAAUUUAUUAAAUUAAUUUAUAUAAUCGUCGAUUCGUACUUGUAAGAAUUGUUGAAACGUAAUUAACAUUAAUUAUACAUCAUUAUGCAAAUAUCACGUUACGGCAAUCACAUUGUUGACUUCGCAAAUCGAAUACAUUUUUCGACGAGAUAUCAUGAAAUCGACACGAUUCACAUUUCAUUCGAUCAUCGUUCCAAGAUCAUUCAAAUGCGUGUACAAACACAUGGCUCGAAAGAUAAAACAGAAAACUAAUAUUACACAAGUAACAAGAUUUUCUGCAACUCGGAUAACCGAUUAAUACAAUAUUUAAAAACAAAA
This is a long non-coding RNA of Apis mellifera (honey bee), 1234 nucleotides long. RefSeq lists it as uncharacterized. NCBI's taxonomy places the organism in Eukaryota, Metazoa, Arthropoda, Insecta, Hymenoptera, Apidae. The record is from RefSeq and is a predicted model, not a curated record. The transcript has 2 exons.